GCCGACAUAGCUCAGUUUGGCAGAGCAGCUGAAUCGUAAUCAGCAGGUCGUGGGUUCGAGCCCCUCUGUCGGCU
This is a non-coding RNA of Lutibacter sp. BRH_c52, 74 nucleotides long. The record is from Rfam. Lineage: Bacteria; Pseudomonadati; Bacteroidota; Flavobacteriia; Flavobacteriales; Flavobacteriaceae.